AUACUCUGGUUUCUCUCAAGAUCAUAUAAAUCUUUUGCCUUUUACUAAAGAUUUCUGUGGAGAGGAAAAACUCUGAGUCUUAAAUUUUUGAGACCUUGUUUCAGCAGAAAAAGA
Molecule: small nuclear RNA, 114 nt
Organism: Tupaia belangeri (northern tree shrew)
Lineage: Eukaryota; Metazoa; Chordata; Mammalia; Scandentia; Tupaiidae
Gene: U5
Rfam family: U5 spliceosomal RNA
About the family: U5 RNA is a component of both types of known spliceosome. The precise function of this molecule is unknown, though it is known that the 5' loop is required for splice site selection and p220 binding, and that both the 3' stem-loop and the Sm site are important for Sm protein binding and cap methylation.
Source: Ensembl